RNAcentral lists this ribosomal RNA (253 nucleotides) under uncultured bacterium. Its description in RNAcentral is "partial 16S ribosomal RNA". It matches the Rfam family "Bacterial small subunit ribosomal RNA", at positions 524 to 776 of the family's 1533-position model. The record is from RNAcentral.
CACGUAGGGGGCAAGCGUUGUCCGGAUUCAUUGGGCGUAAAGGGCGCGCAGGCGGCCCGGUAAGUCGGAUGUGAAAACUCGGGGCUCAACCCCGAGCGUGCACCCGAUACUGCCGGGCUUGAGGCAGGUAGGGGAGAUCGGAAUUCCUGGUGUAGCGGUGAAAUGCGCAGAUAUCAGGAGGAACACCGGUGGCGAAGGCGGAUCUCUGGGCCUGUCCUGACGCUGAGGCGCGAAAGCUAGGGGAGCGAACAGG